Long non-coding RNA from Ornithodoros turicata, 946 nucleotides. RefSeq lists it as uncharacterized. NCBI's taxonomy places the organism in Eukaryota, Metazoa, Arthropoda, Arachnida, Ixodida, Argasidae. The transcript has 2 exons. The record is from RefSeq and is a predicted model, not a curated record.
ACUACACAAUGACUCUACUACAAUGUCUACUGCUAAUGAAUACUACAAUGCCUCUACAUGUCAAUUAUGCAAAUAACCACGACAUGCACGAUGCUUGCCCUUGUGCCAUGGAGCCAAAACAUGCGAACUUCACCACCUCCACCACUUCAACCAUUACAUUCUCCACCAACCUUCACAUUCCCCACCCAAAUUGUCACCGUCAAGUCAUAGUACCGUUGGACAUCCUCAUAGCCCUGGCCGAUCUCCCUUGGGGCUAAUGGCCAUUCUCCGCAGGACGAAGAAGAAGAAUUUUUUUUUUUUAGUUCUCUCUCAUUCCAUUCGAAGCGACCGUGGCGUCAGUGCUUAUGGAUCCAGCUGCUGAUAAACCGGCGAAUAAGCGCAAGGCUUCGGCUGCUUCCAAGAGCUCUAAGGCAUCCUCAGGUUCACGGAAGAGCAAGUCGUCCGAAGCUUCGACGAAGUCUGCCGAUGUGCGCGGAAAAUUGGCGGAUCCUGCUCAGGUUAGACAGGACACCCUGACUGCAGCUGCAUCGCACAGGAGUUAGUUGCAGUUGGCGAGGUCUCAAAAGUUCCUGUCGAAGGAAACGGGCGAGGCAAUUCGAAGCAAAACGCAGAAAAACCAGCCGGAGGAGACUUCGAAACUGAAGCAAGUAGAAAAGCGCUAUGAACGCAAGCUCGGAGAACGUAGUAAAGAGGACCAUACCCUUUCGACUGGCUCUACUCGUCACCCAACAGACAACACUGCUGAAAAGGAAGGCCUUUUCGGUUACAGUUCAGUUCCAGUUUCGAACCCUGCCUGCAGUGCGACACAAAAAUUCCGUCAUCCGCUUCUGCUGAGUGUACAGUAUGGCAAAAGGUGUCCUGUCGCCAAAGCCUGCAAGGCUAGCGGAUGACAACUGUGAGCAUCAACUGCUACUAUACGCUACAAUAAAUCUUAUGUAUAAUUUUU